UGCAAAGAGAAAAAAAAUCCCUUUCUCCACUUCCUUUUCUCUUCAGACUUUCAUGAUCAGUCCUAGAGCGGGACCGUAGAGGCAACGUCUACUGGGACAGAAGGGCUGCCUCAUAGCUAACCAGCUGUCAUUGGCCCUUAGAGGCUGAGAGACAUCCUGAAGUUUCUAAGGAAAGUUGAAGAAAGCCCUGGGAUACACCCUACUGUACCUGGAGCAGACCACUGGGGAUAGAAGACAUGCUCUGCACUGCUCUGGACAUUUGGGCUGGGAAAGGUCAGAGGGAGGCUUCAGUAGGCAUGAAGCGUACUGGAAUUUGGCCUACAGUGGACAAACACACAGAUCUUCAUCGCUACAAAAAACAUCCCUUGAUGUUGCCCCAUCCAUUCAAACCAAACCUCAGAGAGCCCCAGGAAGAAGAACUCAUAGAUGUUUACAGUGCUGGUCGGCAUUGUUUAAAAGUUGCAGGCUUCGGAAAAAGAACAACCAAAAUUUUUGCCAGCUGGGAGAUGAAAAUGACAUGGAAAGGAGGCCACUGAGAGAGAAAGAGAAUGCUCGAGCACAAGCAGAGGAAACAGCAGGCAGAGGGAGAAGCAGGCUCCCCGCUGAGCAGAGAGCCCGAUGGAUGCAUCUCAGGACCCUGGGAUCAUGACCUGAGCUGAAGGCAGACGUUCCACCGACUGGCCACUCAGGCGCCCCUAAAUGUGUAUAUUUUUGAAAUUUCUUCUUCUCUUUUUAAAAACAAAUUAAAAAUCAAAAGCAUAUAUGGUCAAAAGCCAGUUUGUUCUUGAUCCUAAUCACUAGCUCUCCUCUUCAGACUCGAACCCUUUUCCCAGUUUCUUAUGGUUCCAGAGCCAGGACUCUGUCAUUUUAAUAAGCGACUGAGGCAUUCUUACAGCCCGG
This 900-nucleotide long non-coding RNA is filed under the name Mustela putorius furo (domestic ferret). RNAcentral describes it as "lncRNA (ENSMPUG00000027624.1)". The record is from RNAcentral. Lineage: Eukaryota; Metazoa; Chordata; Mammalia; Carnivora; Mustelidae.